RNA transcript from Manis pentadactyla (Chinese pangolin), 4695 nucleotides. It is a transcript of the gene named WD repeat domain 41, with no coding region annotated. The record is from RefSeq and is a predicted model, not a curated record. Lineage: Eukaryota; Metazoa; Chordata; Mammalia; Pholidota; Manidae. The transcript is spliced from 14 exons.
UGCGCCGCAGAAACCCCGCCGCCAACCUAGCUGCUCCCCUGGCUGAAUACGGCAGCCCUUUUGGGGAAAAAAGCUUCCCUUUUCUGUGGGCUUUGCUUUGCCCUUGGUUCUGUAGACACAACUGGGGUGAUAAUUAUUAACGUCUCCAUUGUGUUGCUGCCUGGGAAGUAGGAGGAGGCUGAGGCCAGCGCCGAGUUCGGGUUGACUGGGGCCUGCGCCCGGCAAGACCCCGCCGCUGCCCGGAUGUUGCGAUGGCUGAUCGGGGGAGGCCGGGAACCUCAGGGCCUGGCGGAGAAAUCUCCUUUACAGACAAUAGGUGAAGAGCAAACCCAGAAUCCCUACACUGAACUGCUUGUACUGAAAGCUCAUCAUGAUAUUGUACGAUUUCUGGUACAGUUAGAUGACUACAGAUUUGCAUCUGCUGGUGAUGAUGGAAUUGUAGUUGUGUGGAAUGCUCAGACAGGAGAAAAACUUUUGCAACUCCAUGGACACACACAAAAGAUAACAGCUAUUACUACAUUUCCUUCCUUGGAAGCUUGUGAAGAAAAAAAUCAACUGAUCUUGACAGCCUCUGCUGAUAGAACAGUUAUUGUAUGGGAUUGUGAUACUGGCAGACAAGUUCGAAAAGUAUCAUGUUUGCAGUCUACUGUAAAGUGUUUAACUGUUCUUCAGAGACUAGAUGUUUGGCUGUCUGGUGGAAAUGACCUGUGUGUGUGGAACCAAAAAUUAGAUCUCCUGUGUAAGACUCAUCACCUUUCUGAUACAGGGAUCAGUGCUUUGAUUGAAAUACCUAAGAACUGUGUUGUGGCAGCAGUCAGCAAAGAACUAAUAAUUUUCAAGUUGAUAGCACCCACAGAAGGAGCACUAGAAUGGGAUAUUCUAGAAGUUAAACGUCUCCUUGAUCACCAGGAUAAUAUUCUUUCAUUGGUUAAUGUCAAUGAUUUGAGUUUUGUAAGUGGCUCCCAUGUUGGAGAGCUGAUCAUCUGGGAUAUCCUGGACUGGACUGUGCAGGCCUGUGAACACAACUUCUGGGACCCAUCUCCACAGCUGGACACCCAGCAAGAAAUAAAACUCUGUCAAAAACCAAAUGACAUUUCUAUUCAUCAUUUCACAUGGGAUGAAGAGAAUGUAUUUGCUGCAGUUGGAAGGGGUUUAUAUGUGUAUAACCUUCAGAUGAAGUGUGUGAUUGCCUGCCAGAAAACUGCACAUGACUCCAGUGUCCUGCACGUUGCCAGGCUUCCAAACAGGCAGUUAAUCUCAUGCUCAGAAGAUGGCAGUGUACGCAUUUGGGAAUUACGAGAAAAACAACAGCUUGCUGCUGAACCUGUACCAACAGGUUUUUUUAACAUGUGGGGGUUUGGAAGAGUGAAUAAACAAGCUAGCCAACCUGUUAAAAAACAACAAGAAAAUGCCACUUCGUGUUCUCUAGAGCUUAUUGGAGAUUUGAUUGGACACUCAUCAUCUGUGGAGAUGUUUCUAUACUUUGAAGAUCAUGGACUAGUGACAUGCUCUGCUGAUCAUCUUAUUAUUUUGUGGAAAAAUGGAGAACGAGAAUCUGGAUUGCGUAGUUUAAAAUUAUUUCAGAAAUUAGAGGAGAAUGGUGACUUAUAUCUUACUGUCUAGCAUAAGGAAAUUGAAUAUGUGUGCAUGAACUUUGAACAUCAACUAUGUGGUAAUACUCUGAAAACUAUUAACAUAUUGCUCACUUAAGUUUGUAGUGUAUUUUUUUUUCUUGUCACUCCAUAAAAUUCCAAUUGUUUGAAUUCUUUUUUGCACAUCUACAAACCAGCAACAAAUUGCUUUUUUGGCAUUAGUACAUCCACCAAAGAAGAUACCAGAAAUUCAGUUUUUUUUAAGUUCUUUCAUUUAGCCUUUUUGGAUUUUGAAAUAUGUGAGUCCAUAAAAUUUUUUAACUAUACCCAUUCAUUCUUUUAAAAAUUUAUUUAAGGAACCAAAUAUACAUGAUACUCAUGGAAAAUAUUUGGGGAGAAAAAUGAAAAACCCACUGAAGAAUGGGUAGGAUAUAGCACAUCUUGAAUUUAGACCUUGAAAACUGACCCUUCCUUCCCUGGAGCAAUGAAGAUUGCAUAAUAACCGCACUCUGUGCUGUUGUUAAAGUGUGUGAAUUGGCCUCAACAGCUAUUGGCACUGGACCAGCAUCUGCCCCCUAUUUGCCAGGAAUGAGAGCUAGAAUUGUAAGGAGUUAACAGUGUUUCCAGAGUCAGAGCCUGCAGCCCAGAGUGCCUGAUGCAUCUCACCAUGGACUGUACUAUGAACUGCUUGAGAACAGGCUUCAUGUACAUAGUUUCUUGCAGUAACCACUGAGAUUUAAGCAUCUUCAUCACCCCAGGGCCUUAGAGCACUCUUCCUCCCUUUUGGAACUUGAGAAUAAAAUUAAGUGUUCCACACAUUAGUAAAUGGGUGGGUCUGAUUGUGGAGUUAAUUCUUUAAACUGCUGAUGAAAGACUCCUGUUAAUGUAAGUGCAAGGUGGCUGAUAUGUCACAGUCCUGAUCCUUCUCAGAAAACAUUUCAUGCCAAUUUAGUUGGUCAUCAUUCACCUGCUUAAUGGAUUCUUUAUAAAUUGUUUUUUCUAGUUUACCUUUGACAGGUGCUUCCACAACUAACUCCAAAGACUGGUAGAGCUAAGGUCAGCUAUACCAGAACAAUGUUAUAUGUGUGGCAUGGAGGCCAGUCAGGUAAAGCCCCUGCAGUUGGUUUGCUCGGUGAUGAUAAUGGGAAUAGAACUCUGUUAAAACUAGUCAAAGAGGACAGGAAUGAGAGAGAGAGGCUUAUGACUACCACUUGAGGAACACCAGAUAAUGUUCAGGCAUUUCGGUUUUAAUUCACAAUGAAAACAGUUUCCUGAAGAAAUAUGUUAAAAAAAGUUGCUACUUCCAUUAUAGAACAGAGUGAUAUGAAUAGGAACAUUAACACUACCUUUAGCCUACAAAUCAUUAUCAUGGCAUCUCGGACUCCCACAGGCAGCCGUCUCAGGUUUCCUCCUGCAGUUGGGGGUUGCCCUUCAAGCCAGGCAGACAUGCACUCUGGUCUGAGUGCCUUAGCUUUACUCAUCACUUUAGUUAAGUAUCUCAUUUUCAGACUUUCCUCAAUAAAUGGACUUUCCCGUUACUAGUUAGCUUUUUUCUUUGGAAAUUCUGAAUUUGGUCAUGAGUUUGCAAAGUUGUUUUCUUGAAUUGUGUAGCUGCUUUAUUUCCUAAUAUGUUCUGGUUAGUGUUUUGUGAUAGUGGUACAAAUUACAGGUGAGUUUUGGGAGCACACAGUACCCUAAGAAACUAUGUCUAGAAGGAAGCCUCCAACCCAUUCACCAGACUUGAUGGUUUUUGCUUUCAUGAAUGCCUUGGGGUCAGACCUGGUUAGCUACUCAGUACUUAUAUAUGUACUGCUGCUAAAAGUUGAACUUUAAGACAACAUAUAUGCAUUUUUUUUCCAUUUCCUAGCUUAACUUUCAGUGUUGUUUGCAACACCAAAGGUUGCAAACUGUGUAGUGUGCUUCAUCAUUUUAAAAUACCCUUAUUACCUCAAUCUUCAGCUUUAUUCAUAGAAUGAAGUGCCUAAACUUCAGGGGCAUUGCAUCAUCCCUUCCAUUUAUCUUUCAGUAGGUUCCGAUUGAACUGAUGAGAUUUCUUUAUUGCCCAUAAGACUAACCCAUCCUGACUCUGAAGGCAAGCAAAUUUUAAAAUCUUAAAGAAUGACUUAAAUUUUAGGGUCAUUCUGGUCCAGGUAACUAUUUUGUGACUUUCUUCUUCUGGUUAAAUGAUAAUUUGACUUCCCUUUGUAUCGGAUAAUGUUGCAUUUUUCAAAAUUAAUAUGGCUCCCCUCGCAUACAGUGUUUUAGUAAACAACUCAAUAUGAGGAAAUUAUAAUAGUUUGUACCCAUCUGCUACACAUACCAUUCGAAGGGCUGUAUUUCUAAUAAACUGACUACUUGAAAAAAUGUAGUUAGCAAUUCAGUAUAUUAAAGAGCAGAAUUAUGCUAAAGCUUUAGUACCUGGCAGUCUUAAAGCAUUUAACAUUUAAGUUAAUAUGAAAUUAAUUUGAAAUUAUAGGGAGUAAGCUGUAACAAUCAUAUGGAAGAUGUCAGAUAUCUGAUAAAUGCUACUUACCAAAUGGAACUGCAAGUGAGAUGAUGGUCAGGAAAAAGAUUAUCCUUGCCUCAAACAAGCUUUGUAGCCUAGGCAAAUUAUUUAUCUCCUUAAAAUGGUAUUUUGACAUCCUGAAUUUAAUGUAGUCUGAAAACAAAGUGUGUGGCUCAUGAAAUAAACGACACUGAAGCAAAAAUUUGAAAUUACAAAAAAUUUAGGCCAAAGAGGUAAAUAAAAACAGCUGUUGAGAAUGAAAAAUGGCUGUAGGAAUUUAGUUACAAGUACUUCACAAAGCAUUUUCACCACAUUUACAUACGGCAGCAUUACAUACACAGCUAGCUCCUGUCCUGACCAAAUGCGUUCUCUAACAAAAAUAACUUAAAUUUCUUCGCGUGGAAUCGUCAUAUAUAUAUUUUCAUUUUUUGUUACAAAACAUAGAAAAAAACAUUGGCACAUUACAUAAUGAUAAGUCAUUCUGUUCCUCCCAUGUACAUGUUCUGCAUUCCAGUUUUCACUUGAAAAAGUAACUACUGAUUCAGUCUCUGCUUGCACCUCUGAAAAAUGCAGCAUGGAAUACAGAGAAUUUGAAAG